This 326-nucleotide ribosomal RNA is filed under the name uncultured bacterium. RNAcentral's name for it is "bacterial SSU rRNA". It matches the Rfam family "Bacterial small subunit ribosomal RNA", at positions 1 to 334 of the family's 1533-position model. The record is from RNAcentral.
CUAGCGACUUCAGAGUUUGAUCCUGGCUCAGGAUGAACGCUGGCGGCGUGCCUAACACAUGCAAGUCGAGCGAACCCUUCGGGGUGAGCGGCGGACGGGUGAGUAACGCGUGGGUAACCUGCCCUGUACACACGGAUAACAUACCGAAAGGUAUGCUAAUACGAGAUAAUAUAUUUUAAUCGCAUGGUUAAGAUAUCAAAGCUCCGGCGGUACAGGAUGGACCCGCGUCUGAUUAGCUAGUUGGUGAGGUAAUGGCUCACCAAGGCGACGAUCAGUAGCCGACCUGAGAGGGUGAUCGGCCACACUGGAACUGAGACACGGUCCAG